Molecule: ribosomal RNA, 497 nt
Filed under: uncultured bacterium
Lineage: Bacteria
Description: partial 16S ribosomal RNA
Rfam family: Bacterial small subunit ribosomal RNA
Source: RNAcentral
GAUGAACGCUGGCGGCGUGCCUAAUACAUGCAAGUCGAGCGAACAGACGAGGAGCUUGCUCCUCUGACGUUAGCGGCGGACGGGUGAGUAACACGUGGAUAACCUACCUAUAAGACUGGGAUAACUUCGGGAAACCGGAGCUAAUACCGGAUAACAUGUUGAACCGCAUGGUUCAACAGUGAAAGACGGUUUUGCUGUCACUUAUAGAUGGAUCCGCGUCGCAUUAGCUAGUUGGUAAGGUAACGGCUUACCAAGGCAACGAUGCGUAGCCGACCUGAGAGGGUGAUCGGCCACACUGGAACUGAGACACGGUCCAGACUCCUACGGGAGGCAGUAGUAGGGAAUCUUCCGCAAUGGGCGAAAGCCUGACGGAGCAACGCCGCGUGAGUGAAGAAGGUCUUCGGAUCGUAAAACUCUGUUAUUAGGGAAGAACAAAUGUGUAAGUAACUAUGCACGUCUUGACGGUACCUAAUCAGAAAGCCACGGCUAACUACGUG